This 245-nucleotide long non-coding RNA is filed under the name Helianthus annuus (common sunflower). Its description in RNAcentral is "Bacterial small subunit ribosomal RNA". It matches the Rfam family "Bacterial small subunit ribosomal RNA", at positions 946 to 1115 of the family's 1533-position model. Lineage: Eukaryota; Viridiplantae; Streptophyta; Magnoliopsida; Asterales; Asteraceae. The record is from RNAcentral.
UUAAUUCGAUGCAAAGCGAAGAACCUUACCAGGGCUUGACAUGCCGCGAAUCCUCUUGAAAGAGAGGGGUGCCUUCGGGAACGCCGCACAGGUGGUGCAUGGCUGUCGUCAGCUCGUGCCGUAAGGUGUUGCGGUUUUAUUAUUUAUGUAAUUUUUAUUUAAUUACUAGAAUAUUAUUUGUUUUAAAAAUUAAAAAAAAAUUGGGUAAUUAUGGAAGUGCCACGUGUCGAACAAUGCCCAAGAGU